Molecule: long non-coding RNA, 302 nt
Filed under: Prunus persica (peach)
Lineage: Eukaryota; Viridiplantae; Streptophyta; Magnoliopsida; Rosales; Rosaceae
Description: long non-coding RNA (PPER_LNC000756)
Source: RNAcentral
UAUUACCUAUCUUUCACUUGAACAAAUGGAGGAAGCCUGCAAUUGAAGAGCAGUGUAACUUUUGGGCGUGGAUAAAAGGAGUUAACUAAAGCCAAUUGAGAAUAAAAGUAUCUGGAUGUGUUCUUCAAAGUAUUGAAGCAUAUGAAUUGAUAUUCAUAUUAAAGCAAUUGCCAACAUGGACAUGUUAAAGAAUUACUGCGAGGCGCACUUGAUUCUUUGUAGCAUGCUGGAGGUAGUUGGAAUCAAUAGAGGGAUGUACUUAAGCAAUUGCCAACAUGGACAUGUUAAAGAAUUACUGCGAG